UUAUAUUAGGUUAACAUGUCUCACAUGCAGCUUGAAUCAUCCAUUUGGAGACUAUAACAGGUACAAGAUGACAUCGGAGUUGGGUAAUUAAUUAAUAAUUGGCUUGGAGGGAUUUGAAUUGAUGACCUUCAGUAAACUUGGUUUUGAUAUCUUAUCAUAUUAAUCAAUCUUCGAUGAUAUGUAGAACUUGUUAGGCUUCUUGUUCCAAAGCCAUUUGCAUAAGAGCAAAACCAGAGCUUGAUUUUUCCAAUGAAAAUUCUAUCAUUUCAUUCUUUCCAUAGGGUCCCCAAUAGCAAUU
RNAcentral lists this long non-coding RNA (298 nucleotides) under Phoenix dactylifera (date palm). RNAcentral describes it as "long non-coding RNA (PDAC_LNC014992)". The record is from RNAcentral. Lineage: Eukaryota; Viridiplantae; Streptophyta; Magnoliopsida; Arecales; Arecaceae.